GUGGGGAAUCUUGCGCAAUGGGCGAAAGCCUGACGCAGCCAUGCCGCGUGAAUGAUGAAGGUCUUAGGAUUGUAAAAUUCUUUCACCGGGGACGAUAAUGACGGUACCCGGAGAAGAAGCUCCGGCUAACUUCGUGCCAGCAGCCGCGGUAAUACGAAGGGGGCUAGCGUUGCUCGGAAUUACUGGGCGUAAAGGGCGCGUAGGCGGACAGCUUAGUCAGAGGUGAAAGCCCAGGGCUCAACCUUGGAAUUGCCUUUGAUACUGGCUGUCUUGAGUUUGGGAGCGGUGAGUGGAACUCCGAGUGUAGAGGUGAAAUUCGUAGAUAUUCGGAAGAACACCAGUGGCGAAGGCGACUCACUGGCCCAAUACUGACGCUGAGGCGCGAAAGCGUGGGGAGCAAACAGGAUUAGAAACCCCAGUAGUCC
This 425-nucleotide ribosomal RNA is filed under the name uncultured bacterium. RNAcentral's name for it is "partial 16S ribosomal RNA". It matches the Rfam family "Bacterial small subunit ribosomal RNA", at positions 354 to 796 of the family's 1533-position model. The record is from RNAcentral.